This 1064-nucleotide ribosomal RNA is filed under the name actinobacterium enrichment culture clone HY8. RNAcentral describes it as "bacterial SSU rRNA". It matches the Rfam family "Bacterial small subunit ribosomal RNA", at positions 53 to 1127 of the family's 1533-position model. The record is from RNAcentral. Lineage: Bacteria; Bacillati; Actinomycetota; Actinomycetes.
ACAUGCAAGUCGAACGAUGAAGCCGGAGCUUGCUCUGGUGGAUUAGUGGCGAACGGGUGAGUAACACGUGAGUAACCUGCCCUUGACUCUGGAAUAAGCGUUGGAAACGACGUCUAAUACUGGAUACGAGCUUCAGCCGCAUGGCUAGGAGCUGGAAAGAAUUUCGGUCAAGGAUGGACUCGCGGCCUAUCAGGUAGUUGGUGAGGUAAUAGCUCACCAAGCCUACGACGGGUAGCCGGCCUGAGAGGGUGACCGGCCACACUGGAACUGAGACACGGUCCAGACUCCUACGGGAGGCAGCAGUGGGGAAUAUUGCACAAUGGGCGCAAGCCUGAUGCAGCAACGCCGCGUGAGGGACGACGGCCUUCGGGUUGUAAACCUCUUUUAGUAGGGAAGAAGCGAAAGUGACGGUACCUGCAGAAAAAGCACCGGCUAACUACGUGCCAGCAGCCGCGGUAAUACGUAGGGUGCAAGCGUUAUCCGGAAUUAUUGGGCGUAAAGAGCUCGUAGGCGGUUUGUCGCGUCUGCUGUGAAAACUGGGGGCUCAACCCCCAGCCUGCAGUGGGUACGGGCAGACUAGAGUGCGGUAGGGGAGAUUGGAAUUCCUGGUGUAGCGGUGGAAUGCGCAGAUAUCAGGAGGAACACCAAUGGCGAAGGCAGAUCUCUGGGCCGUUACUGACGCUGAGGAGCGAAAGCAUGGGGAGCGAACAGGAUUAGAUACCCUGGUAGUCCAUGCCGUAAACGUUGGGAACUAGAUGUAGGGACCAUUCCACGGUUUCUGUGUCGCAGCUAACGCAUUAAGUUCCCCGCCUGGGGAGUACGGCCGCAAGGCUAAAACUCAAAGGAAUUGACGGGGGCCCGCACAAGCGGCGGAGCAUGCGGAUUAAUUCGAUGCAACGCGAAGAACCUUACCAAGACUUGACAUAUACGAGAACGGGCUAGAAAUAGUCAACUCUUUGGACACUCGUAAACAGGUGGUGCAUGGUUGUCGUCAGCUCGUGUCGUGAGAUGUUGGGUUAAGUCCCGCAACGAGCGCAACCCUCGUUCUUUGUUGCCAGCACGUA